AGUUCAACAUGAUGGACUACAGGACAGGACUGCUGCUUCUAACUUUCUGCUGGGCAGGUGUUGAUGGUCAGACUCUGACAGAAUCUGAACCAGUAGUUAAAAGGCCUGGAGAAUCUCACAGAUUGACCUGUACAGCCUCUGGAUUCACAUUAAGCAGCUACCCUAUGAACUGGGUCAGACAGGCUCCUGGAAAAGGACUGGAGUGUAUUGCUUUUAUACACACAGGCAGUUCUUCUAUCUAUUACUCCCAGUCAGUCCAGGGUAGAUUCACCAUCUCCAGAGACGACUCCAGCAGUAAAGUCUAUCUGCAGAUGAACAGUCUGAAGACCGAGGACACAGCAGUGUAUUACUGUGCCAGAAGCUGGGGUGGGGUAUAAUGCUUUUGAUUACUGGGGGAAAGGCACGAU
Cottoperca gobio is the source of this 407-nucleotide non-coding RNA. Lineage: Eukaryota; Metazoa; Chordata; Actinopteri; Perciformes; Bovichtidae. The record is from the annotation of a RefSeq genome assembly.